GAUGAACGCUGGCGGCGUGCUUAACACAUGCAAGUCGAACGAUGAAGCCCAGCUUGCUGGGUGGAUUAGUGGCGAACGGGUGAGUAACACGUGAGUAACCUGCCCUUAACUCUGGGAUAAGCCUGGUAAACUGGGUCUAAUACCGGAUAGGAGCGUCCACCGCAUGGUGGGUGUUGGAGAGAUUUAUCGGUUUUGGAUGGACUCGCGGCCUAUCAGCUUGUUGGUGAGGUAAUGGCUCACCAAGGCGACGACGGGUAGCCGGCCUGAGAGGGUGACCGGCCACACUGGGACUGAGACACGGACCAGACUCCUACGGGAGGCAGCAGUGGGGAAUAUUGCACAAUGGGCGCAAGCCUGAUGCAGCGACGCCGCGUGAGGGAUGACGGCCUUCGGGUUGUAAACCUCUUUCAGUAGGGAAGAAGCGAAAGUGACGGUACCUGCAGAAGAAGCACCGGCUAACUACGUG
RNAcentral lists this ribosomal RNA (466 nucleotides) under uncultured bacterium. RNAcentral's name for it is "partial 16S ribosomal RNA". It matches the Rfam family "Bacterial small subunit ribosomal RNA", at positions 28 to 507 of the family's 1533-position model. The record is from RNAcentral.